Molecule: ribosomal RNA, 467 nt
Filed under: uncultured bacterium
Lineage: Bacteria
Description: partial 16S ribosomal RNA
Rfam family: Bacterial small subunit ribosomal RNA
Source: RNAcentral
GACGAACGCUGGCGGCGUGCUUAACACAUGCAAGUCGAACGGAAAGGCCCUGCUUUUGUGGGGUGCUCGAGUGGCGAACGGGUGAGUAACACGUGAGUAACCUGCCCUUGACUUUGGGAUAACUUCAGGAAACUGGGGCUAAUACCGGAUAGGAGCUCCUGCUGCAUGGUGGGGGUUGGAAAGUUUCGGCGGUUGGGGAUGUACUCGCGGCUUAUCAGCUUGUUGGUGGGGUAGUGGCUUACCAAGGCUUUGACGGGUAGCCGGCCUGAGAGGGUGACCGGCCACAUUGGGACUGAGAUACGGCCCAGACUCCUACGGGAGGCAGCAGUGGGGAAUAUUGCACAAUGGGCGGAAGCCUGAUGCAGCAACGCCGCGUGCGGGAUGACGGCCUUCGGGUUGUAAACCGCUUUCGCCUGUGACGAAGCGUGAGUGACGGUAAUGGGUAAAGAAGCACCGGCUAACUACGU